RNAcentral lists this ribosomal RNA (253 nucleotides) under uncultured bacterium. RNAcentral's name for it is "partial 16S ribosomal RNA". It matches the Rfam family "Bacterial small subunit ribosomal RNA", at positions 524 to 776 of the family's 1533-position model. The record is from RNAcentral.
UACGUAGGGGGCAAGCGUUGUCCGGAAUCAUUGGGCGUAAAGAGCGUGUAGGCGGCUCGGUAAGUCCGCUGUGAAAGUCCAGGGCUCAACCCUGGAAUGCCGGUGGAAACUGUCGAGCUAGAGUCCGGAAGAGGCGAGUGGAAUUCCUGGUGUAGCGGUGAAAUGCGCAGAUAUCAGGAGGAACACCAAUGGCGAAGGCAGCUCGCUGGGACGGUACUGACGCUGAGACGCGAAAGCGUGGGGAGCGAACCGG